CGAUUUUAUCUAUGUCUAAACGCUGCUUCACGUGUCGUUAUUCUAUUAGGGUUGAACCAGUGUGUACUUUUCUGUCAUUCGAGAUCGAGGCGUGACCUGAGUUACAAGAGAGUUGUUUCAUCUUCUUCCUCAUCAAUCCGCAAGAUACCGGUUACAGCUUCAACCUCUUCAAGACCUUCUUAAAUCCAUACCCCAUGAUCUCUCUUGAAUGCGAUCUCAGGUAGGCGGUGGGAUCUUGACUAUAAAAAGGUAUGCUUUCAUGCUUAGAGAACCAUCUCCUCAUUUCUUAUAUCAGAAACCAGUAAUCUUAUUUUCAGUUCCAUGAUUUUCUUCCUGGGUUGGGAGAGGCCGAGCUCAUCCUUUUAUGGGAAGCUCUACGGAUUGAUGUCGAGAUGUUCAUCAAUGAACAUGGUUUGUUUUUUGAUUGGAGGGGGAAGAAGUUCUGAUCAUGGCGUCGAUGUCAGACAUCGGAUCAGGGACCUAAGACAGAGGUGGGAGGAGGAGGAAUAGAGAGCUCGGAGACGGUUGCGGCGAGUGAUUAAAUGUUGUUGCAUAGAUGUUUUACGAAGGCGAAGAAGGAGAGAGGUUGCACAUUUAAGGAGCGUAUCAGUGAAACGCUGCUCUGCACCGCUGGAAAAAAGAGUUUCAUUUACCGUGGAGUCACCAGGCAUGGAUGGACAUUUCAUUGUGAAGGUCACCUUUGAGAGAAGAUAAGAGUACAUGGAACUAAAACCAGAACAAGAAGGAAAAACAAGGUUAUCAGAUUGGUAAGCUAUAAGCUUUGAAGGAGCAUAUGAUGAAGAGGCUGCUGCUAGAGCUUACGAACUUGCUGCCUUGAAAUACUGGAGACCUGGGACACUUAUCAACUUCCCAGAGCAGGUGAUGAUCGAGGAGCAGAAGGUGACUUUCUUGGCAUCUUUUAUCUGACAGGAUACAUAAAGUGGUUGGGAGUCAAUAAAACCUUUCAGCCAGAAUCUUCAUCAGAAGCAUCAGAGGAUGCAAAGGUUGAAGAUGUUGGUACUGAGCUUAAAACACUGGAAGACACAUCCGAGGCAACAGAGCCAUACAAAUCCCAAAACAUUGGCAUUACUCAGAGAAAAGAGAAACAAAUAUCAUCGUCUUAAGCAAUUUGUCUGCGUCACCUGCUUACAUGAGCCUAGAGGAGAAAGUGCCAAGUUUUAAUGUCUGCGUCAUCUUGGAGAUGAUAACCUGACCAUACCAUUCGACCCAGCACGAAGAUCCGUUUACGUGCCAAGUUUUAAAUUUCUGAAUUUCUUUUAUAAUUAUCCCUAUUCUGUUAAACUUUUAAUGUUUCCAGUACCUUUAUUUAAGAUACAUGGAUCUUAACUUGGUUAUCAAACAAAAUUUGGUCAUACACA
This is a long non-coding RNA of Brassica oleracea var. oleracea, 1379 nucleotides long. RefSeq lists it as uncharacterized. The transcript is spliced from 6 exons. The record is from RefSeq and is a predicted model, not a curated record. Lineage: Eukaryota; Viridiplantae; Streptophyta; Magnoliopsida; Brassicales; Brassicaceae.